Non-coding RNA from Podarcis muralis (Common wall lizard), 444 nucleotides. The record is from RefSeq and is a predicted model, not a curated record. NCBI's taxonomy places the organism in Eukaryota, Metazoa, Chordata, Lepidosauria, Squamata, Lacertidae.
CCGGGGAGAGGUUUCCUCCAAGCUGCUUCGAUCGCGGCCGGGUUGCUCGCUGCAUUUCCCGCCCCCAAACCCCACUCCGCCCCCGGGGAUGCGGGUCCUGCUCCAGAUUCUCCACGUGGACGUCUAUGGGGGAAGGUGAAAGGGCCAUAGCUCAGUGGAAUCUCAGACUCCUGCCUGAGUCUCUCGGAGGAUGUCUCAAGCAGGUCACCAAGCAAGAUGGGCCAGAGGGUUUGACUCAAUUCACUGCCUUUCAUUAUGAAAACCAAGGAAUUCUAGGCCAAGAAUUCUGAAGCUACAAGACUGACAAAAUGAUGAAUACCGAACAUUCCCAGUCACUAUCUUUGAUGCAGUCCAUUUUAUUUCAUUCUUCUUGUCCAAGUGACCAAAACUGGGAUAAAAAAUGGGGACUGAAGACUUUCCUUCAUGGCUGAAGAAUGCCCCAAC